RNA transcript from Ctenopharyngodon idella (grass carp), 8145 nucleotides. It is a transcript of the gene named kinesin light chain 1b, with no coding region annotated. The transcript has 15 exons. Lineage: Eukaryota; Metazoa; Chordata; Actinopteri; Cypriniformes; Xenocyprididae. The record is from RefSeq and is a predicted model, not a curated record.
UGAAAACCAAGCCCAUCUCCAAACCACCGCCUGUAGUGUGACGUCAUUUCUACCGACGCGUCUGUGCGUGUGCGCACGCGCAGUGUCACAUCUAUAGUGGACAUCUUGGAAUUAAAGGGGCUCCAAAGGAAUCCUCACAAAAGCAACGAUUUCAGGCCGCUCCUCUGCUAGAUCAUGUCCACGAUGGUGUACCCUCGUGAUGAGAAGCUGGAGAAGUUAUCGCAGGAGGAGAUCAUCUCCAACACCAAGCUGGUGAUCCAGGGGCUGGAGGCUCUGAAGAACGAGCACAACUCCAUCCUGCACAGCCUCCUGGAGACCAUCAAGUGCCUGAAGAAGGACGAGGAGGCCAAUGUGGUGCACGAGAAGUCCAACCUGCUCCGGAAGUCUGUGGAGAUGAUUGAGCUGGGGCUGGGCGAGGCUCAGGUUAUGAUGGCUCUGUCUAACCAUCUGAACGCGGUGGAGUCGGAGAAGCAGAAGCUGCGCGCUCAGGUGCGCCGACUCUGUCAGGAAAACCAGUGGCUUCGGGACGAGCUGGCCAACACACAGCAGAAGCUGCAGAAGAGCGAGCAGAGCGUGGCACAGCUGGAGGAGGAGAAGAAACACCUGGAGUUCAUGAACCAGCUCAAGAAGUACGACGAAGACGUGUCGCCUUCGGAGGAGAAAGAUGGUGAGCCGCCCAAGGACUCUCUGGAUGAUCUUUUUCCCAACGAUGAGGAGGAGCACACUCAAGGAAUGCAGCACCAGCACAACAGCGCCGCCGUAGCAGCCGCACAGCAGGGCGGAUACGAAAUCCCGGCUCGCCUCCGAACCCUCCACAACCUGGUGAUCCAGUACGCGUCUCAGGGCCGGUACGAGGUGGCGGUACCACUCUGCAAACAGGCUCUGGAGGACCUGGAGAAAACCUCCGGACACGACCACCCCGAUGUGGCCACCAUGCUCAACAUCCUGGCACUGGUGUACAGGGAUCAGAAUAAAUAUAAAGAGGCUGCUCACCUGCUGAACGAUGCUCUCUCCAUCAGAGAGAAAACACUUGGGAAAGACCAUCCUGCAGUUGCAGCCACUCUCAAUAAUCUGGCUGUGCUGUACGGGAAGAGAGGCAAGUACAAAGAGGCUGAGCCGCUGUGUAAACGAGCCCUUGAGAUACGAGAGAAGGUGUUGGGGAAGGAUCAUCCUGACGUGGCGAAGCAGCUGAAUAAUCUGGCGCUGUUGUGUCAGAAUCAGGGCAAGUAUGAAGAGGUGGAGUAUUAUUACUGCAGAGCUCUGGAGAUCUACGAGUGCCGGCUCGGUCCAGACGACCCCAACGUGGCCAAAACCAAGAACAACCUGGCGUCCUGCUUUCUCAAACAGGGCAAAUACAAAGAAGCCGAGGUUCUGUACAAAGAGAUUCUGACCCGCGCUCACGAGAAGGAGUUUGGAUCGGUGGAUGCUGAAAACAAGCCCAUCUGGAUGCACGCGGAGGAGAGAGAGGAGAUGAGCAAGGGGAAGCACAGAGACAACACGCCAUACGGAGAAUACGGAGGCUGGUACAAAGCCUGUAAAGUCAACAGUCCGACGGUCAAUACGACCCUGAGGAAUCUGGGCGCUCUGUACCGCAGACAGGGCAAGAUGGAGGCGGCGGAGACACUGGAGGAGUGCGCCAUGAGAUCCCGCAAACAGAGCAACUCCGGUCUGGACCCAGUCCAUCAGACGCGUGUGGUGGAGAUCCUGAAGGAGGGCGACGGCAGUGAGCGCCGGCGCAGCAGAGACAGUCUGUCUAGCGUAAAGUACGAGAGCGGCUCUGAGGGCGGCGAUGAAGUGAGUAUGGCUAUAGAGUGGAGCGGGGUGAGUACACAUCCACUGCAUCCACCAAUCACAGCACAGCUGCCUCUCAACAGGUGCCAUCAUGAUGACAUCAGCAUCACACGGCAAAAAAUGACGUUCUUCCUCAGUGUUUUUGUCUUGUUUUCCAGUACAAAUAUCUAAACAUUCUUAAAUCAAGAUACAUUUACUGGAGAAGCAAAAUGACUGAAGAUAACAAGUCUUGUUUUAUGAAAAAUGUACCAAAAUUAAGCGGCUUUAUGCUUAAAACACGAACAAAUAUCUGCCAAUGGGGUCAGAAAAAUAAACUUCAUUCAAAGGGAAAACAAGGUUAUUUUUCUGACCCCAUCGGCAGAUAUUUGUUCUUGUUUUAAGCACAAACUCACUUCAUUUUGAUACAUAAAACAAAACUCAAUAUCUUCAGUCUUUUUUUUUUUUCUCCAGUAAAUCUAUCUUGAUUUAAGAAUGUUUAGAUAUUUGUGCUGGAAAACGAGACAAAAACACUGAGGAAGAACGUCAUUUCUUGCAGUGCAGAUAAUGUUGGUGUAGCUGAAUGACACUUUCCAGCCGCCGUUUGGCCUUUUGUCGACCAGUCAUGUAAAUCAUUGAAUGGUACCUGUUGAGUGUCUGCUCUGUUCAAGGUCUUUAUGAGCUGAUUGUGUGUCCUGGCAUGUUUGUGCUGAUUUAACAUGCUUGAAUUUGUGUAUGAAAGUGUUCGUAAGCAUCUCUGACACACACAAGCCUCCCCGUACAGAUCCGUGACGCACACAAUAUCCUCGCCAGAACACGUCCAGGUCACAUGACCCAGAGAUCAUUUUCUUUAUGUGAAUUUCUCAUGUUAAGGCCCGUUCACACCAAGAACGAUAACUAUAAAGAUAACGAUAAAGAUAUAGUUCUAAAAAUCGUUCUAAAUACAAAAGAAUAGCACUGUCCACACUGCAGCUAUAACGAUAACGAUAUAGAGAAACAAUAUCGUUGGGAUCACUUUCAGAACAAUUUUUUUCCAGCUGUUGAAUGAUAAAACACUGACAGCCAAUCAGAAUCCAUUCUAAUUUAAGGGCUUGUGUAUUUAAAAUGGCAGACGACAUUACAGAGAAGUUAAUUGCAGAGGUCCAGAAAAAGCCACCACUGUUUGGCAAGUCAAACCCCCUUUUCAAGGAUACUUUAAAGAAAAUGGAUAUAUGGAAAACAAUCGGUCAUACCCUCGGAAUACAUGGUGAGAUUAAAGAUGAGAUCAUUAUGUCAGGCUAGAAAACAGUGUAACACAAAAUUACCUCAGGUAUCCAGCGCUAGUUUCGACAACAUUGUCUUGCUUCCUUUGAAGUUGCAGUGAAAAAGACUAGGUGUUGUUUUUAUUCCACUAUAUUGACUUUGUCAGCUAAAUUCACUGUUAGAUUAGAUCGAUUACACUAGCUAUUCACUCGAAACAUAGCAUGCUGAGGACAUCUGCUGGUUAAAGCCGUGUAAUUGCAACAAGAACAGCAAAAACAUGUUGUACACACUUUGAAACCUCAGCACGUGAGCUUAGAAUAAACAGACCGUUAUCGUUCGUUGGUGUGGACACAAAUAUAGUUAUCGUUCUUGGGGUGAACGGGCCUUUAUUGUUGUGAUUUUGGGCUGAAAUAUGAUGUGGUCGUGUCCUCGUGCGGUUUGGUGUUGUGUGACGUCACUAGAGCGCUGAGACGGUGUGGUGUGUCCAGGAUGUUCAGUCUGAUGUCAUAUUCUGCAUGUGAAGCUUAAUGCGUUCGAUCAUUAACACAUGCUCUGUCCUGCUUACAGAGUCACUGCUAGUGUAUGCAAUGAAAUAAUAAAAAUAACAUGAAGCUCUGAACACGCCACUAAAGCACUCAGGAUCUCUUGCCUUACAAAGCUUCUUAAAGGGACAGUUCACCCAUAAAUGAACAUGGACUUGCCUUGACUAGUUUUCAGUGACUGUGUGUUUAAUACAGGUUAAAACAUGUGAAAGAAUCUUUCAGUGCAGUGAGACAAAAUAAACACACAAUCACUUAAAACUCAUCUAAAUGUCACAUGCAGUGUUGUGUCUUUUGUUUUAUGGAUUGUUAGAUGUUUGAACUGGAACAUGAGCCGAAACAGAUCAGAUGUGUGUGUGUUGUGAUGGUGUGUGUUUCUGUGUGAUUUCUCAGGCAGUGCGCGUAAGACUGUGGAUGUGAAGAUGACAUUCAUACCCAGAAUAAAUCAAUCUUGCAUUCUCAGAUUGUUUCUGACUCCACCUCAUGUCUCAUGAUGAUCUCACAUGGUUCUUUCACAUUAGACAUCAUUAGUGUUUGUUUCAGUGGUUCAUCUCAAGUGGUCCAAAAACGAUAAAGUUGGUUGACGUGACGCUCAGCGUGUGUUUGCCUGUGCAUGCGACCUGCAUGAAUCUGUGCGCUCACCAUCACUACCUGUUACUAACCAGCCACGUCAUCGCAGUUGUUGCCAUGACAACCAAUCAGCCAAUUUGGGCUGCCUUUCCCAACAGCAUCGCGGGCCUAAUAGCUGCUAGUAAGCGCUUUCAGCACUAUGAUCUACUUAUGAGGCUUUUGGGAAACGCAGCCGUGAUCAGUUUUUCCCGACACAGUGGAUUGUGCUCUUCCCUUCUCCGUAAGAGACUCGCUGGACUGGAAGAGAUCAGACAGAGAGGAACUUAACAUCUAGUUUUAAGAUUUAAAUGUUUUUGAAAGAAGUCUCUUCUGCUCACCAAGGCUGCAAUUUUGUUAAAAAAUACAGUAAAAACAGUGAAAUAUUAUUACAAUGUAAAAUCGCUGUUUGCUAUGUGAAUAUAUAGUAAACUAUAAUUUAUUCCUGUGAACAAAGCUGAAUUUUCAGCAUCAUUACUCCAGUCUUUAGUGUCACAUGAUCCUUCAGAAAUCAUUCUAAUCUGAUGAUUUGCUGCUCAAGAAACAUUUCUGAUUCUUAUCGAUGUUGAAAACAGUUGUGCUGCUUCAGAUUUUUGUGGAAACUGUGAUACAUUUUAUUUUUCAGGAUUCUUUGAUGAAUAGAAGGUUCAAAAGAACAGCAUUUGUUUGAAAUAGAAUCUUUUGUAACAUUAUAAAUGUCUUUACUGUCACUUUUGAUCAAUUUAAUGCUUCCUUGCUGAAUAAAAGUAUUAAUCUUACUCACCCCAGACUUUUGAAUGGUAGUGUAUCACACUAAUGAUAUUUCACUGUUUUUACUGUGCUUUUGAUCAAAUAAAUACAGCCUUGGUGAGCAGAAGAGACUUAAAAAAUCGUAAUGAUUUCAGACUUGACUGUCAGUGUAAAUAUAAACACUGACACACAUCAUUAUAUAAAUAGACUGGGAUUUGUGAUCUUGUCCUUGCAAGCAAACACACACACUGUUUAUGUCGAAGAUAAAUCACUGCUCUUCAAAUGAAGAUCAGCCCAGCCUUUGUUUCCUGUUCUACUUCCUGUGUCGUGACCUCAGUGAGAGACAGGAACUACUACUCUCUCUGCUUUCACUUAUUAUUAGCAUAACAAAAACAUUGUUUUAAACAUGACCAGAGUGUUGUUUUAAAAAGCAGCAAUUAAUGAAUUCAAGAAAUAAAUUACUUUAUUAUUAAGAAUGAUGAUAAAUACUUUUUAAGAAAAAUGCUGAUUUAAGAUGUGUUAUCUGCAUUUGGCCAAAAACUAAAUGUAGUAGAAGUGUGUGUGAUGCUUGUGUCUGCAGGGGCAAGAGAACAACCGUCUGAUAGACAGACAGAGAGACACAGAGGCAGAGAGACAGACAGGCAAAGAGACAGACAGGCAUCCAGACAGAUAGACUGACAGACAGACAGACAUAGAGACAGACAGACAUACAUACAUACAGAGAGAUAGACAGGCAUCCAGACAGACAAACAAACAGAGAGACAGACAGGCAGAGAUAUAGACAGGCAGGCAGGCAUCCAGACAGACAGAAAGGCAGAGAGACGGACAGACAGACAUACAUACCUACAUAUAGAGAGAUAAACAGGCAUCCAGACAGACAGGCACAGAGACAGACAGACAUACUUACAGAGAGAUAGACAAGCAUCCAGACAGACAACCAGACAGACAGACAGACAGACAGACAGGUAUCCAGACAGACAGAGUGGCAGAGAGACAGACAGACAUACAUACAUACAUAGAGAGAUAAACAGGCAUCCAGACAGACAGGCACAGAGACAGACAGACAUACAUACAGAGAGAUGGACAAGCAUCCAGACAGACAGACAACCAACCAGACAGAGAGACAGGUAUCCAGACAGACAGGCAUCCAGACAGAGUGGCAGAGAGAUAAACAGGCAUCCAGACAGACAGAGAGACAGGCAGAGAGACAGACAGGCAGACAUACAUACAUACAUACAUACCUACAUACAGAGAGAUAAACGGGCAUCCAGACAGACAGGCAGAGAGACAGACAGGCAGAGUGGCAGAGAGACAGACAGACAGACAGACAUACAGAGAGAUAGACAGGCAUCCAGAGAGACAGGCAGAGAGACAGACAGGCAGAGAGACAGACAGAGAGACAGUCAGACAGACAGAGAAAUAGACAGAGAGACAGACAGACAUACAGAGAAAUAGACAGAGAGACAGACAGACAGACAGACAUACAGAGAGAUAAACAGGCAUCCAGACAGACAGACAGACAGACAGACAGAGAGACAGGCAAAGAGACAGACAUACAUACCUACAUACCUACAUACAGAGAGAUAAACAGGCAUCCAGACAGACAGGCAGAGAGACAGACAGACAGGCAGAGUGGCAGAGAGACAGACAGACAGACAGACAUACAGAGAGAUAGACAGGCAUCCAGACAGACAGACAGACAGGCAUCCAGACAGACAGACAGACAGACAGACAGAGAGAUAGGCAGAGAGACAGACAGGCAGACAGACAGACAGACAGACAGAGAGACAGAGAGACAGUCAGAUGGACAGAGAGAUAGACAGACACAGACAGACAGACAGGCCACACGUGUGUUUGAAAUGAGCUCUUAAUGGUGUGCUGUCUCUCUCUCUCUUCAUCAGGCAUAAAGCCAUCAAGAGUUUCCCUCACCUUCUUCCUCCUCACACAGGAAGUGACGUGUUCGUAUCAUCCUCUGCCAUAGCGGGUGUCCUUUAGUCCACCGGCCUUCACCGGCGACGCGUCUCUCUCCUGCAUUCUGCUAUCUUCUUCUGUCUUCGGUUGACGUGACGUCGUCUUUGGGCUCUUCGUCUCUUUCUCCUUUCCGUCUCUCUCUCAUCUCUGAUCCGUUGAUGAUGGACGUCGACACGUUCGCUGUCUGACGUCGCUGAUGAACUUUCAGACUGAACUUUCUUUUACCUCUGAUGGUUUUUGCUCUCUUUCUCCAUUAGACUGUUUUGCCGUCUGUGGUUUUGAACGGCUUCUGGUGUUGAACAAUCACUGUUGGUGUUUCACAGAAACCUUGAAACUUGCUCUUGAUACUUUUUGUUAUUAUUUUUGUUUUGUUUUUUGUAAUAUAUGAUAAAUGAUGUUUUGGUGUCGCUUGAGGACGUGUGUGACACACAUAUCUAAAGCUGAACAGCACAACGAACACAGACGGCUUCUCUGUGCUUCGGUGUCAAAGUUACGUUUACAGUAUUCACCAUUAACACUUGCCGUGAGGUUUGACGCAUUAGUCAGCAGAGGCCAUAUUCUAGUUCUCUCAAUCAUAUAUAUUAUAUUUCAGCUAAUUAUACUAACGAGAAAUGAUCUUGUGUUUGUUUAUCUGCGGCCUUGAGAUAGAUGAUCGAAUCCUCAUAUAUUUCCACCUGCAAAGGGAACAACAGGAUUCAGAUGUCAGUAUUUAGAGAUUUCAAACAUGAACCAUUUUCCUCGUUCGUUCGACUCAAUCCUGUGUACGAACAGCAUUUCUGAGCGAUUAAAUCAUUUCAUUGAGCUUGUUAAAUGUGCUCAAGGCCGAACGCACAGACAUUGAACACACAUCAGUGUUUGCGCUUGAUGAAACGCCUUAAAGAAGCGACACAGAAGCUGAUGUGACUGUACUGUAUCACUCAAUGUCCUUUCAGUUCAGUUUAGUGCACGUGUCAAAUGAUGUCUGUGCGCUCGUUUAUUUCCCUAUUUUCACUAAUGAUGAUAGUUUGAUCACCAUUCCAAACACACACACAUGAUGAUGAUGAUGAUGCAGUAUAAAACGAACAAAUGUUUCUCCUGUUCUCUUGAUAACUGACGUGUUUAUGCCGUGUGUCGUGGAAUGCUGCUUAUUUAUUGAUGGUUUUGGCUCUUCUGUAUCUGUUUUAUUCAGAGCGUUUGUUCUCUAUCAUAGUGAGUAGAUCUGCAAAUAAAUAUAUAUAAACGUAUUACUCCACUGCAUUGUGAUGUUUGUUGAUAUCCUCAAUAAAGGUUUCAUUUCUGGACUUUCUCAUGA